AUUUCUUUGUACUGCACAUUGCUGCAGCUCGUCUUUUUGUGUGUUGAGCUCUGUUUUAGCUCCAGAGUGAGGCAUCUCACUUCUGUUCCAUCUUUGUUGGGACUCGCACAUGCGCUGUAGCUAGGUAAGGACUACUAGCCAGUCAGGAGCAGAGUAUGAGGGCGUGCCCUGACAGUACCUAGGUAAUGACUACUAGCCAGUCAGAAGCAGAGAAUGAGGACGUGCCCUGACAGCAGCAAGGACUACUAGCCAGUCAGAAGCAGAGUAUGAGGACGUGCCAUA
This is a long non-coding RNA of Etheostoma spectabile (orangethroat darter), 282 nucleotides long. RefSeq lists it as uncharacterized. The transcript has 3 exons. The record is from RefSeq and is a predicted model, not a curated record. NCBI's taxonomy places the organism in Eukaryota, Metazoa, Chordata, Actinopteri, Perciformes, Percidae.